GACUGAGUUCCCGGCGCGAAAAUUAAAGUACGGAACUAAGCAUGUAGAUACGGGAGGGGAGCAUUUGCGGACGCGGGUUCGACUCCCGCCGCCUCCACCA
This 100-nucleotide transfer RNA is filed under the name Desulfoprunum benzoelyticum. RNAcentral describes it as "tRNA-OTHER". It matches the Rfam family "transfer-messenger RNA", at positions 269 to 374 of the family's 374-position model. Rfam says of the family: Bacterial tmRNA, also known as 10Sa RNA or SsrA, is named for its dual tRNA and mRNA-like properties. Its role is to liberate the mRNA from a stalled ribosome. Lineage: Bacteria; Pseudomonadati; Thermodesulfobacteriota; Desulfobulbia; Desulfobulbales; Desulfobulbaceae. The record is from RNAcentral.